CCUACGGGUGGCAGCAGUGAGGAAUAUUGGUCAAUGGGCGCGAGCCUGAACCAGCCAAGUAGCGUGAAGGAUGACUGCCCUACGGGUUGUAAACUUCUUUUAUAAAGGAAUAAAGUGAGGCACGUGUGCCUUUUUGUAUGUACUUUAUGAAUAAGGAUCGGCUAACUCCGUGCCAGCAGCCGCGGUAAUACGGAGGAUCCGAGCGUUAUCCGGAUUUAUUGGGUUUAAAGGGAGCGUAGAUGGGUUGUUAAGUCAGUUGUGAAAGUUUGCGGCUCAACCGUGAAAUUGCAAUUGAUUCUGGCCGUCUUGAGUACAGGUGAGGUAAGCGGAAUUCGUUGUGUAGCGGUGAAAUGCUUAGAUAACACGAAGAACUCCGGUUGCGGAGGCAACUUACUAAACUGCCACUGACAUUGAUGCUCGAAAGUGUGGGUAUCAAACAGGAUUAGAUACCCGGGUAGGC
This 460-nucleotide ribosomal RNA is filed under the name uncultured bacterium. Its description in RNAcentral is "partial 16S ribosomal RNA". It matches the Rfam family "Bacterial small subunit ribosomal RNA", at positions 338 to 795 of the family's 1533-position model. The record is from RNAcentral.